CAAAACUUUCAACAACGGAUCUCUUGGUUCUGGCAUCGAUGAAGAACGCAGCAAAAUGCGAUAAGUAAUGUGAAUUGCAGAAUUCAGUGAAUCAUCGAAUCUUUGAACGCACAUUGCGCCCGCCCGUAUUCUGGCCGGCAUGCCUGUCCCAGCGUCAUUU
This 160-nucleotide ribosomal RNA is filed under the name Trichoderma koningiopsis. RNAcentral describes it as "5.8S ribosomal RNA". It matches the Rfam family "5.8S ribosomal RNA". From Rfam's summary of the family: 5.8S ribosomal RNA (5.8S rRNA) is a component of the large subunit of the eukaryotic ribosome. It is transcribed by RNA polymerase I as part of the 45S precursor that also contains 18S and 28S rRNA. Lineage: Eukaryota; Fungi; Ascomycota; Sordariomycetes; Hypocreales; Hypocreaceae. The record is from RNAcentral.